UAGUUCAUAGGUGAGUACCCCGAUUAUAGUCGGAUGUACUCAUAUUUCCAUUCGGGAAGGUUCAACCUGGAAGAUAGCGAAGAUAUGGAUGAGGUUGCAA
This is a regulatory RNA element of Methanosarcina acetivorans, 100 nucleotides long. It matches the Rfam family "Pyrrolysine insertion sequence TetR". Lineage: Archaea; Methanobacteriati; Methanobacteriota; Methanomicrobia; Methanosarcinales; Methanosarcinaceae. The record is from Rfam.